CUCGUCCUGAAGUGCGGAUGUAGCCACCAUGGCGGCCAGUCAGAGGCGGGACCCGGCAUUUCCGGCGAGUUGAGAAAUGGCGGCGCACGUGGACACGGCAGCCCCGGAGACCCGUUCGUGGGGAUGGCCUCGCUCUGAGGGGACUGUCGGAGUCAGACGCCAAGCAACAGGUCCAGUCUCCCUAUUGAGAAGCAAGUUGCUCACUUUCCUGCUUCCAAAGUGUGUUCACUGCCGGUGA
Molecule: long non-coding RNA, 238 nt
Filed under: Microcebus murinus (gray mouse lemur)
Lineage: Eukaryota; Metazoa; Chordata; Mammalia; Primates; Cheirogaleidae
Description: lncRNA (ENSMICG00000048420.1)
Source: RNAcentral